UACGUAGGGUGCUAGCGUUGUCCGGAAUCAUUGGGCGUAAAGAGCGUGUAGGCGGCCCGGUAAGUCCGCUGUAAAAGUCAAAGGCUCAACCUUUGAAUGUCAGUGGAUACUGCCGGGCUAGAGUCCGGAAGAGGCGAGUGGAACUCCUGGUGUAGCGGUGGAAUGCGCAGAUAUCAGGAAGAACACCAACGGCGAAGGCAGCUCGCUAGGACGGUACUGACGCUGAGACGCGAAAGCGUGGGGAGCGAACAGG
Molecule: ribosomal RNA, 253 nt
Filed under: uncultured bacterium
Lineage: Bacteria
Description: partial 16S ribosomal RNA
Rfam family: Bacterial small subunit ribosomal RNA
Source: RNAcentral